This 244-nucleotide ribosomal RNA is filed under the name uncultured bacterium. RNAcentral's name for it is "partial 16S ribosomal RNA". It matches the Rfam family "Bacterial small subunit ribosomal RNA", at positions 796 to 1041 of the family's 1533-position model. The record is from RNAcentral.
CACGCCCUAAACGUUGCUCUCUCGCUAUUAGGAGUAUCGACCCUCCUAGUGGCUUAGCUAACGCGGUAAGAGAGCCGCCUGGGAAGUACGAGCGCAAGCUUAAAACUCAAAGGAAUAGACGGGGAGACGCACAAGCAGUGGAUUAUGUGGUUUAAUUCGACGGUAAACGAAGAACCUCACCAGGAUUUGAAACCAAGUUGAAAGGUCUAGAAAUAGAUCCCUCGCAAGACAUUUUGGCAGGUGA